AGACCUCAGGUCAGGCGGGGCUACCCGCUGAGUUUAAGCAUAUCAAUAAGCGGAGGAAAAGAAACUAACAAGGAUUCCCCUAGUAACGGCGAGCGAACCGGGAAAAGCCCACCAUGAGAAUCGGUCGCCUUCGGCGUUCGAAUUGUAGCA
This 150-nucleotide ribosomal RNA is filed under the name Phaseolus vulgaris (common bean). RNAcentral describes it as "partial 28S ribosomal RNA". It matches the Rfam family "Eukaryotic large subunit ribosomal RNA", at positions 1 to 150 of the family's 3401-position model. Lineage: Eukaryota; Viridiplantae; Streptophyta; Magnoliopsida; Fabales; Fabaceae. The record is from RNAcentral.